RNAcentral lists this ribosomal RNA (424 nucleotides) under uncultured bacterium. Its description in RNAcentral is "bacterial SSU rRNA". It matches the Rfam family "Bacterial small subunit ribosomal RNA", at positions 355 to 796 of the family's 1533-position model. The record is from RNAcentral.
UUAGGAAUUUUGGGCAAUGGGCGCAAGCCUGACCCAGCAACGCCGCGUGGGUGACGAAGGCCUUCGGGUUGUAAAGCCCUUUUCUGGGGGAAGAUGAUGACGGUACCCCAGGAAGAAGCACCGGCUAACUACGUGCCAGCAGCCGCGGUAAUACGUAGGGUGCAAGCGUUGCCCGGAUUUAUUGGGCGUAAAGGGCGCGCAGGCGGCUCGGCACGUCCGUUGUGAAAUCGCCCGGCUCAACUGGGCGGGGUCAGCGGAUACGGUCGAGCUUGAGCAAGCUAGGGGGCAAUGGAAUUCCCGGUGUAGUGGUGGAAUGCGUAGAUAUCGGGAGGAACACCAGUGGCGAAGGCGGUUGCCUGGAGCUUUGCUGACGCUGAGGCGCGAAAGCGUGGGGAGCGAUCCGGAUUAGAUACCCGCGUAGUCC